Molecule: ribosomal RNA, 253 nt
Filed under: uncultured bacterium
Lineage: Bacteria
Description: partial 16S ribosomal RNA
Rfam family: Bacterial small subunit ribosomal RNA
Source: RNAcentral
GACGUAGGGCGCGAGCGUUGUCCGGAUUUAUUGGGCGUAAAGAGCUCGUAGGCGGCUUGUUGCGUCGACUGUGAAAACCCGCGGCUUAACCGCGGGCUUGCAGUUGAUACGGGCAGGCUAGAGUUCGGUAGGGGAGACUGGAAUUCCUGGUGUAGCGGUGAAAUGCGCAGAUAUCAGGAGGAACACCGGUGGCGAAGGCGGGUCUCUGGGCCGAUACUGACGCUGAGGAGCGAAAGCGUGGGGAGCAAACAGG